AUGGCUGUCCUGUCAGUUUCUUCUUCAACCUGGAGCUCCAUCCCCACACUCACCUUCCGACCCGGACGCCAUGGAAGGAAGAUUAAUUUCUCUGUUGUGCAGUUUCCUCACGCACACAUCUUUAUGGAGCACUGCUCCAUGGAGCUCGUCAAGGAUCCGCCAUGGGCGUCAGCUUCUUCUUCAACCUGUAGCUCCAUCCCCAUGGUCACUGUCCACGCGGCUGCUCCGACCCCGACGCCAUGGAAGGUUCUUAUUUUAUUGUACAAGUUUGAGUUGGUGGAUGAGACACUCUUUCUUACCGUGACCAUGGUAGGCAUAUUUUGGGAAAAACAAGUGAUGCCAAGCAAGAAGUUGCAGUUAGUUGUAGUGACGGCUAUGCUUUUUGCAUGCAAAUAUCUGGAAGUCUCAGUUCCACUUGUUGAAGAUUCAGUGCUUAGUUAUGACCAUGCUUAUACGGAAGGACAAACUCUGGAAAUGGUAAUAUCCAUUCAAAACUGUAUGCACAUCAUGCUCAAUGGUUCUAGUUAUAUACUUACCACAUCAGUACACCAUGACACGCGUUUGCUUUUCCAAAUCAUUGUCGAUGUCAAACCAACAACAGAUGUAAGAAUGUAA
RNAcentral lists this ribosomal RNA (615 nucleotides) under Triticum aestivum (bread wheat). RNAcentral's name for it is "partial small subunit ribosomal RNA". Lineage: Eukaryota; Viridiplantae; Streptophyta; Magnoliopsida; Poales; Poaceae. The record is from RNAcentral.